Molecule: ribosomal RNA, 222 nt
Filed under: uncultured bacterium
Lineage: Bacteria
Description: partial 16S ribosomal RNA
Rfam family: Bacterial small subunit ribosomal RNA
Source: RNAcentral
GAUCAUGGCUCAGGAUGAACGCUGGCGGCGUGCUUAACACAUGCAAGUCGAGCGAAGCAAUUUAAGUGAAGUUUUCGGAUGGAUCUUAGAUUGACUGAGCGGCGGACGGGUGAGUAACGCGUGGAUAACCUGCCUCACACAGGGGGAUAACAGUUAGAAAUGACUGCUAAUACCGCAUAAGCGCACGGUACCGCAUGGUGCAGUGUGAAAAACUACCGUGGU